GGCCGCGCCGUCAACUUCUGGCCGCCGCGGCCGCUCCGCCGCCGCCGCCGCCACCGCGGGACUUUUUUUUUUUUUUUUUUUUUUUCCCCUCUCGCUCCUCGGCUGCCUCUGGAAUUUUUUUUUUUCACUUGCCCUCUCCAGCUCCCACUAGUGAUUGGAGACUGAGAGCCAAGUACUUAGCGGAGGGAUUACACUUCUCAACGCAAUUGGAGCGGCCCCAGCGCCGCCGCCUGUGUGCGGAGUGCGGAGCCGACUUGGGGAGCGGCGGGGUGCGGGCCGGAGGCAGCCCGGGUACAGGGGUGCUCUUCCCAAGCCCUGUCCGCUGCUCAGAGCAUCCCCAAGAUUUCCCUCAUGGGUCCUGUCCUGGUUGUUUAAGAAGGUUUCCAGAAAACCUCCUGGUUUGAAGAACAAAGAUUCGUGGAAUUAUUGUACCUUGAGAGCUGGAAAGGGCUCGCAGAGAUGAUAUAAUGUCGUGGACUUCAACUUUUCGGGGCCAUAGACACUUUUCAGAAAUUGAUAAAACGUUGACACACCUUGUAAAAAAUGAACACAUUAAAAUUAAGCCUGCAGUUUGAGGUAAUGGAGAAGCACUGGAGAUUUGUAAGCCACGGAGUCAAAUGGUGGACUGGGAUUUUCAGGAGAUCAUUUAGAGAGCAAGAUCUUACCAAAUCCUUUAGUCAUGGUCUAUUUCGUUGCACUCAUAUGGGUGUUACUGCGAAGGUGAAGGACUAAUGACUGCAGCAGGAAAAAGAAUUGGAUGUGUCAUGAAUUAUGGCCCUGCUUAUACUUCUACUUCAACCAUAAUCAUUUGUUUAAACAAAAAGUUCUGCAUUUGAAUUGUCACAAUUGUGUGUGUGUUAUAAACAUCUCAUAUUUCAUCCAGGCUCAGCCAACACUUGCCUUUAUUAACACUCAUAAUCAAGAAAUAAAAUCUCAUACUAACCAAAAAUUAUCCUUCAUAAGAGAAUAUAAACAGAAGUCUGGUUCAUAAACUUACUAAUUAACACCUCUAUUCUCAUGUAUUAACUAACAUUUUUGUUUCGUCUUAAAAUAAAUAAAACUUUAUGACAUGCUAAUAAUUUAUUUAAAAU
Pan troglodytes (chimpanzee) is the source of this 1091-nucleotide long non-coding RNA. RefSeq lists it as uncharacterized. The record is from RefSeq and is a predicted model, not a curated record. Lineage: Eukaryota; Metazoa; Chordata; Mammalia; Primates; Hominidae. The transcript has 3 exons.